AGGGAACUUAAGUGGAUAACUGUGCUGUAACAAUCUGGAGUAAAAUGCAUCACUGUUACAAACCUGUUACCAAGAAGAGCAUGAAGCUGGAUGAUAGUCUGUUCUUCCUGCAAGCUGAACUUGCCCCUCUUGAUGUCCGGCCUAAGUACGAUGAAAUUCAAGCUUUUCUAGACUCACCGGCCUUGGAGGGCAAUGCACGCCAGCUCCCAUGUCCGUGCUCCUCGAUGUGAGCAAGAAGCUUCUCGUCCUCCUCCGGCGUCCAUGGACCUUUCUUUAGGCCGAUCUUGUCACAGCAUGGUGAUCGCCCCAUUGGAGUAGUGUAAGAUGCUACCUUUCCGAAGCCAAGAACUGACGAGUGCAGUGGAGCUGACUGAUAAAUAGAGCAGGAGGAGAAGAUGCACAGCUCCUUGCUGAUCAACAGAAUGGAAGGAAAGAGUAAGAAACAAGUGACUUCAUCCUUGCUGCAAGAGUUUUGACUAAAAAAAGCUGAGAGUGAGUUUAGCAUCCAGGUCCAAUUGGUGUGGCC
Non-coding RNA from Lolium perenne, 526 nucleotides. Lineage: Eukaryota; Viridiplantae; Streptophyta; Magnoliopsida; Poales; Poaceae. The record is from RefSeq and is a predicted model, not a curated record.